GGUUAAGUGACUAAGCGUACACGGUGGAUGCCUUGGCAGUCAGAGGCGAUGAAAGACGUAGUAACUUGCGAUAAGCCCAGAUUAGGUAGUAACAACCAUUUGAGUCUGGGAUUUCUGAAUGGGGAAACCCACGUGCAUAAGCACGUAUCCUUACCUGAAUACAUAGGGUAAGGAGGCGAACCGGGGAACUGAAACAUCUAAGUACCCCGAGGAAAAGAAAUCAACCGAGAUUCCGAAAGUAGCGGCGAGCGAAAUUGGACUAGCCCUUAAGCUUUACACGCGUUAGACGAACGGUCUGGAAAGUCCGACGAUACAGGGUGAUAGUCCCGUAGUUGACGACGUGUGUUCAGUGAAAUCGAGUAGGGCGGGACACGUGAUAUCCUGUCUGAAUAUGGGGGACCAUCCUCCAAGGCUAAAUACUACUGACUGACCGAUAGUGAACCAGUACCGUGAGGGAAAGGCGAAAAGAACCCCUGUGAGGGGAGUGAAAUAGAACCUGAAACCGUGUACGUACAAGCAGUAGGAGCACCUUCGUGGUGUGACUGCGUACCUUUUGUAUAAUGGGUCAGCGACUUAUAUUCAGUGGCAAGGUUAACCAUCUAGGGGAGCCGUAGGGAAACCGAGUCUUAACUGGGCGUUCAGUCUCUGGAUAUAGACCCGAAACCAGGUGAUCUAGCCAUGGGCAGGUUGAAGGUUGAGUAACAUCAACUGGAGGACCGAACCGACUAAUGUUGAAAAAUUAGCGGAUGACUUGUGGCUAGGGGUGAAAGGCCAAUCAAACCUGGAGAUAGCUGGUUCUCCCCGAAAGCUAUUUAGGUAGCGCCUCGGACGAAUACUACUGGGGGUAGAGCACUGUUAAGGCUAGGGGUCAUCCCGACUUACCAACCCUUUGCAAACUCCGAAUACCAGUAAGUACUAUCCGGGAGACACACGGCGGGUGCUAACGUCCGUCGUGGAGAGGGAAACAACCCAGACCGCCAGCUAAGGUCCCAAAUUACUACUAAGUGGGAAACGAUGUGGGAAGGCUCAGACAGCCAGGAUGUUGGCUUAGAAGCAGCCAUCAUUUAAAGAAAGCGUAAUAGCUCACUGGUCGAGUCGGCCUGCGCGGAAGAUGUAACGGGGCUAAGUAGUAAACCGAAGCUGCGGCAAUGUGCUUUUGCACAUUGGGUAGGGGAGCGUUCUGUAAGCGGUUGAAGGUGUGUGGUAACGCAUGCUGGACGUAUCAGAAGUGCGAAUGCUGACAUGAGUAACGAUAAAGGGGUGAAAAACCUCCUCGCCGGAAGACCAAGGGUUCCUGUCCAACGUUAAUCGGGGCAGGGUAAGUCGACCCCUAAGGCGAGGCCGAAAGGCGUAGUCGAUGGGAAACGGGUUAAUAUUCCCGUACUUCUUACAAUUGCGAUGGGGGGACGGAGAAGGCUAGGUGGGCCUGGCGACGGUUGUCCAGGUUCAAGUGCGUAGGCUUAAGAGUUAGGUAAAUCCGGCUCUUUCUAAGGCUGAGACACGACGUCGAGCUACUACGGUAGUGAAGUCAUUGAUGCCAUGCUUCCAGGAAAAGCCUCUAAGCUUCAGAUUGUAAGGAAUCGUACCCCAAACCGACACAGGUGGUCGGGUAGAGAAUACCAAGGCGCUUGAGAGAACUCGGGUGAAGGAACUAGGCAAAAUGGUACCGUAACUUCGGGAGAAGGUACGCUCUUGAUGGUGAAGUCCCUUGCGGAUGGAGCUGACGAGAGUCGCAGAUACCAGGUGGCUGCAACUGUUUAUUAAAAACACAGCACUGUGCAAAAUCGUAAGAUGACGUAUACGGUGUGACGCCUGCCCGGUGCCGGAAGGUUAAUUGAUGGGGUUAGACUUCGGUCGAAGCUCUUGAUCGAAGCCCCGGUAAACGGCGGCCGUAACUAUAACGGUCCUAAGGUAGCGAAAUUCCUUGUCGGGUAAGUUCCGACCUGCACGAAUGGCGUAAUGAUGGCCACGCUGUCUCCACCCGAGACUCAGUGAAAUUGAAAUCGCUGUGAAGAUGCAGUGUACCCGCGGCUAGACGGAAAGACCCCGUGAACCUUUACUACAGCUUGGCACUGAACAUUGACCCUACAUGUGUAGGAUAGGUGGGAGGCUUUGAAGCACGUACGCCAGUAUGUGUGGAGCCGUCCUUGAAAUACCACCCUUGUAGUGUUGAUGUUCUAACGUCGACCCCUAAUCGGGGUUGCGGACAGUGCCUGGUGGGUAGUUUGACUGGGGCGGUCUCCUCCCAAAGAGUAACGGAGGAGCACGAAGGUGGGCUAAUCACGGUUGGACAUCGUGAGGUUAGUGCAAUGGCAUAAGCCCGCUUGACUGCGAGAAUGACAAUUCGAGCAGGUGCGAAAGCAGGUCAUAGUGAUCCGGUGGUUCUGAAUGGAAGGGCCAUCGCUCAACGGAUAAAAGGUACUCCGGGGAUAACAGGCUGAUACCGCCCAAGAGUUCAUAUCGACGGCGGUGUUUGGCACCUCGAUGUCGGCUCAUCACAUCCUGGGGCUGAAGUCGGUCCCAAGGGUAUGGCUGUUCGCCAUUUAAAGUGGUACGCGAGCUGGGUUUAGAACGUCGUGAGACAGUUCGGUCCCUAUCUGCCGUGGGCGUUGGAAGAUUGAAGGGGCUGCUCCUAGUACGAGAGGACCGGAGUGGACGAACCUCUGGUGUUCGGGUUGUGUCGCCAGACGCAUUGCCCGGUAGCUAAGUUCGGAAUCGAUAACCGCUGAAAGCAUCUAAGCGGGAAGCGAGCCCUGAGAUGAGUCUUCCCUGAUACUUUAAGUAUCCUAAAGGGUUGUCGGAGACUACGACGUUGAUAGGUCAGGUGUGUAAGUGCUGUGAGGCAUUGAGCUAACUGAUACUAAUUGCCCGUGAGGCUUAACCAU
RNAcentral lists this ribosomal RNA (2885 nucleotides) under Vibrio parahaemolyticus. RNAcentral describes it as "23S ribosomal RNA". It matches the Rfam family "Bacterial large subunit ribosomal RNA". The record is from RNAcentral. Lineage: Bacteria; Pseudomonadati; Pseudomonadota; Gammaproteobacteria; Vibrionales; Vibrionaceae.